RNAcentral lists this ribosomal RNA (780 nucleotides) under uncultured bacterium. RNAcentral describes it as "bacterial SSU rRNA". It matches the Rfam family "Bacterial small subunit ribosomal RNA", at positions 36 to 823 of the family's 1533-position model. The record is from RNAcentral.
GUAGCUGGCGCAGCCUACUCAUGGCAGUCGUACACGAUAACUAAGCUUGCUUAGCGGAUUAGUGGCGAACGGGUGAGUAACACGUGAGUAACCUGCCCUUGACUCUGGGAUAAGCGUUGGAAACGACGUCUAAUACCGGAUAUGACCUUCGGAGGCAUCUCCUGGGGGUGGAAAGAUUUUUUGGUCAAGGAUGGACUCGCGGCCUAUCAGGUUGUUGGUGAGGUAAUGGCUCACCAAGCCUACGACGGGUAGCCGGCCUGAGAGGGUGACCGGCCACACUGGGACUGAGACACGGCCCAGACUCCUACGGGAGGCAGCAGUGGGGAAUAUUGCACAAUGGGCGAAAGCCUGAUGCAGCAACGCCGCGUGAGGGAUGACGGCCUUCGGGUUGUAAACCUCUUUUAGUAAGGAAGAAGAACUUCGGUUUGACGGUACUUGCAGAAAAAGCACCGGCUAACUACGUGCCAGCAGCCGCGGUAAUACGUAGGGUGCAAGCGUUGUCCGGAAUUACUGGGCGUAAAGAGCUCGUAGGCGGUUUGUCGCGUCUGCUGUGAAAACUGGAGGCUCAACCUCCAGCCUGCAGUGGGUACGGGCAGACUAGAGUGCGGUAGGGGAGAUUGGAAUUCCUGGUGUAGCGGUGGAAUGCGCAGAUAUCAGGAGGAACACCGAUGGCGAAGGCAGAUCUCUGGGCCGUAACUGACGCUGAGGAGCGAAAGCAUGGGGAGCGAACAGGAUUAGAUACCCUGGUAGUCCAUGCCGUAAACGUUGGGAACUACAUGU